This 73-nucleotide transfer RNA is filed under the name Paramuricea clavata. It matches the Rfam family "tRNA". Rfam says of the family: Transfer RNA (tRNA) molecules are approximately 80 nucleotides in length. Their secondary structure includes four short double-helical elements and three loops (D, anti-codon, and T loops). The record is from Rfam by way of RNAcentral. Lineage: Eukaryota; Metazoa; Cnidaria; Anthozoa; Malacalcyonacea; Plexauridae.
GCCUCUAUAGCUCAGUUGGUUAGAGUGCUGCACCGGAAUCGCAGGGCCGCAGGUCCAAUCCCUGCCAGAGGGC